AAUUAUUGAAGGGCCGCGGUAUUUUGACCGUGCAAAGGUAGCAUAAUCAUUAGUCUUUUAAUUGGGGGCUGGAAUGAAGGGCUGCACGAGGUAUAGACUGUCUUAUUUAAAUUGUUGUUAGAAUUUAAUUUUUAAGUUAAAAAGCUUAAAUUUUUUUAAAGGACGAGAAGACCCUAUAGAACUUUAUAUAAAUUUAAUGUAGGUGGCUUUUGGAUUGUUUUUAUACUUAUUUUUAUUUAUAUUUUGUUGGGGUGAUAGGAAAAUAAUAUUAACUUUUUUUAUUGGUUUACAUUAAUUUAUGGUUAUUUGAUCCAUUUUUAGUGAUUAUAAGAUUAAGUUACCUUAGGGAUAACAGCGUAAUUUUCCUUUAGAGUUCUUAUCGACGGGAAAGCUUGCGACCUCGAUGUUGGAUUAAGAUUAAUUUUUGGUGUAGAAGCUGAAAUAUUAGG
RNAcentral lists this ribosomal RNA (449 nucleotides) under Grylloblatta sculleni. RNAcentral's name for it is "partial 16S ribosomal RNA". It matches the Rfam family "Bacterial large subunit ribosomal RNA", at positions 1915 to 2575 of the family's 2925-position model. The record is from RNAcentral. Lineage: Eukaryota; Metazoa; Arthropoda; Insecta; Grylloblattodea; Grylloblattidae.